CCUACGGGAGGCAGCAGUGGGGAAUAUUGGGCAAUGGAGGAAACUCUGACCCAGCGACGCCGCGUGCGGGAUGAAGGCCUUCGGGUUGUAAACCGCUUUCAGUAGGGAAGAAGCGAAAGUGACGGUACCUACAGAAGAAGCACCGGCUAACUAUGUGCCAGCAGCCGCGGUAAUACAUAGGGUGCAAGCGUUGUCCGGAAUUAUUGGGCGUAAAGAGCUCGUAGGUGGUUCGUCACGUCGGAUGUGAAAAUCUGGGGCUCAACCCCAGACCUGCAUUCGAUACGGGCGAUCUAGAGUGUGGUAGGGGAGACUGGAAUUCCUGGUGUAGCGGUGGAAUGCGCAGAUAUCAGGAGGAACACCAAUGGCGAAGGCAGGUCUCUGGGCCAUUACUGACACUGAGGAGCGAAAGCGUGGGGAGCGAACAGGAUUAGAUACCCUGGUAGUCCACGCCGUAAACGGUGGGCACUAGUUGUGGGAACCUUCCACGGUUUCUGCGACGCAGCUAACGCAUUAAGUGCCCCGCCUGGGGAGUACGAUCGCAAGAUUAAAACUCAAAAGGAAAUUGACGGCUGAGACGUGCGAAGGACGACGACGAGGGAGGAGG
Molecule: ribosomal RNA, 604 nt
Filed under: uncultured bacterium
Lineage: Bacteria
Description: bacterial SSU rRNA
Rfam family: Bacterial small subunit ribosomal RNA
Source: RNAcentral